UGCAAGUUAAAUGUUUUUCGUAAACAUAGCGAACUGCUCAGUAACACGUGGACAACUUAACCUUAGGUCCAGCAUAACCCCGGGAAACUGGGGAUAAUUCUGGAUUAAGCCAAAGAUGCUGGAAUGCCCUUUGGCUAAAAGCUUUUGCGCCUAAGGAUAGGUCUGCGGUCUAUCAGGUUGUAGUGGGUGUAACGUACCUACUAGCCGACGACGGAUACGGGUUGUGAGAGCAAGAGCCCGGAGAUGGAUUCUGAGACACGAAUCCAGGCCCUACGGGGUGCAGCAGGCGCGAACACUUUACAAUGCGGGAAACCGCGAUAAGGGAACCCCGAGUGCCAGUACUAAGUGCUGGCUGUCUGGAUGAUUAGAAAUCAUUUAAUAGCAAGGGCCGGGCAAGACCGGUGCCAGCCGCCGCGGUAACACCGGCGGCCCGAGUGGUAACCGAUAUUAUUGGGUCUAAAGGGUCCGUAGCCUGUUUAAUAAGUCCUUUGGGAAAUCUGGCAGCUUAACUGUCAGGCUGCUAAAGGAUACUGUUAAACUUGGGACCGGGAGACGUAGGGGGUACUCCAGGGGUAGGAGUGAAAUCUUGUAAUCCCUGGGGGACCAUCUGUGGCGAA
This 617-nucleotide ribosomal RNA is filed under the name uncultured archaeon. Its description in RNAcentral is "bacterial SSU rRNA". It matches the Rfam family "Archaeal small subunit ribosomal RNA", at positions 52 to 670 of the family's 1478-position model. The record is from RNAcentral.